CACUGAUCUUCCUCAGGUGGGUAGGUUUGUGAGCUAGAGGAGGCUUGGGUCCUGAAUCCACUCUCCUAUCACCUUUGGGCAGCCUGGAUAAAGAGGAAAGAAGUCUUGGCUGCUGGGCAGAGCCGGGUUUCUCUCCCAUUCCCGAGGAGGCCUGAGCAGCUGGACACGCAGAGAGCGGAAGAUGGGCAGUGAUGACACCAAAUAUAAGCAUAAAAAGACGUUUUAAAACUACAGAUCCUGAAACCCAGCACGGCAGGCACCUGCAGCUUCCAGUGCUGUAACAG
Molecule: long non-coding RNA, 284 nt
Filed under: Homo sapiens (human)
Lineage: Eukaryota; Metazoa; Chordata; Mammalia; Primates; Hominidae
Description: non-protein coding lnc-CHAT-2:1
Source: RNAcentral